GAGUUUGAUCGUGGCUCAGAUUGAACGCUGGCGGCAGGCCUAACACAUGCAAGUCGAGCGGUAACAGGAAUCAGCUUGCUGAUUCGCUGACGAGCGGCGGACGGGUGAGUAAUGUCUGGGAAACUGCCUGAUGGAGGGGGAUAACUACUGGAAACGGUAGCUAAUACCGCAUAAUGUCUUCGGACCAAAGUGGGGGACCCUCGGGCCUCAUGCCAUCAGAUGUGCCCAGAUGGGAUUAGCUAGUAGGUGGGGUAACGGCUCACCUAGGCGACGAUCCCUAGCUGGUCUGAGAGGAUGACCAGCCACACUGGAACUGAGACACGGUCCAGACUCCUACGGGAGCAGCAGUGGGAAUAUUGCACAAUGGGCGCAAGCCUGAUGCAGCCAAUGCCGCGUGUAUGAAGAAGGCCUUC
This 413-nucleotide ribosomal RNA is filed under the name uncultured Gammaproteobacteria bacterium. Its description in RNAcentral is "bacterial SSU rRNA". It matches the Rfam family "Bacterial small subunit ribosomal RNA", at positions 9 to 419 of the family's 1533-position model. Lineage: Bacteria; Pseudomonadati; Pseudomonadota; Gammaproteobacteria. The record is from RNAcentral.